GCUAAGCUAUCCCUCGCUGCUAAGCUAUCGCCGCUGCCAACCUAUCUAUUGCUGCAAGCUAUCCCUCGCUGCUAAGCUAUCCCUCGCUGCUAAGCUAUCCCUCGCUGCUAAGCUAUCCCUCGCUGCUAAGCUAUCUAUUGCUGCAAGCUAUCCCUCGCUGCUAAGCUAUCCCUCGCUGCUAAGCUAUCCCUCACUACUAAGCUAUCUAUCACUGCUAAUCUAUCGCUGCCAACCUAUCUAUCACUGCCAAUUUAUCUACCACUGCCAAUCUAUCUAUCGCUCCUAAUCUAUCGCUGCCAACCUAUCUAUCACUGCCAAUCUAUCUAUCACUGCUAAUCUAUCGCUGCCAACCUAUCUAUCGCUGCCAAUUUAUCUACCACUGCCAAUCUAUCUAUCGCUGCUAAUCUAUCGCUGCCAACCUAUCUACCGCGGCGAAUCUAUCCAUCGCUGCCAAUUUAUCUACCACUGUCAAUCUAUCUAUUGCUGCUAAUCUAUCGCUGCUAAUCAAUCGCUGCUAAUCUAUUGCUGCUAAUCUAUUGCUGCUGCCAAUCUAUCUAUCACUGCUAAUCUAUCGCUGCUAAUCUAUCGCUGCUAAUCUAUCGCUGCUAAUCUAUCGCUGCCAACCUAUCUACCGCGACGAAUCUAUCUAUUGCUGCCAACCAACCUACCACUGCCAACCUAUCUAUCGCUGCCAAUCUAUCGCUGCCAAUCUAUCGCUGCCAAUCUAUCGCUGCCAACCUAUCUACUGCAGUGAAUCUAUCUAUCACUAUCAUUACUAGUUCAAAAUAGAACUAGAGCAUAAAUACACUAAACUUCUUUUGAUAGGUAAUGAUUUUUGGUAACACUCAUAGCAUUAUAUCAUCUAUAUAGGGUAAAUCAUGGUCCCAUUUGGUCCCAUUUUAACAAAAUGGGACCAAAUGGGACCAGAAUCAGUAAUUUAUAAGAAGAACAUGACCUGGGACUAGAUUUAUAAUAUAAACAGUGUAAAGUGACUAAUUUAAUAAACACUAUAUG
RNAcentral lists this small RNA (1014 nucleotides) under Histoplasma ohiense. RNAcentral describes it as "hypothetical lncRNA". Lineage: Eukaryota; Fungi; Ascomycota; Eurotiomycetes; Onygenales; Ajellomycetaceae. The record is from RNAcentral.